ACUCAUCCUCCACCCUGAGCCCCCUGGCAGGCAGCUGUGCACCUGUUCCUGGAGCAGCCUGCACACAGCAUGUGGGAGCCAGGGUGGGCAAAAGGGAUUCUGUCCUCCAAAUAUUGAGAGUCUGUGCUCUGACUGCUGCUUGCGGCUUCUGAUCACAGAGGUGCAGACACAGAGGCGGGUGGCCACUGCUGUUGCACCUCUCCCACUGUAGCA
Molecule: non-coding RNA, 213 nt
Organism: Ceratotherium simum simum (southern white rhinoceros)
Lineage: Eukaryota; Metazoa; Chordata; Mammalia; Perissodactyla; Rhinocerotidae
Source: RefSeq, a predicted model, not a curated record